CUUCGGCCCUUGCGNUAUCAGAUGAGCNUAGGUCGGAUUAGCUAGUUGGUGAGGUAACGGCUCACCAAGGCGACGAUCCCGUAACUGGUCUGAGAGGAUGAUCAGUCACACUGGAACUGAGACACGGUCCAGACUCCUACGGGAGGCAGCAGUGGGGAAUAUUGGACAAUGGGCGAAAGCCUGAUCCAGCCAUGCCGCGUGUGUGAAGAAGGUCUUCGGAUUGUAAAGCACUUUAAGUUGGGAGGAAGGGCAUUAACCUAAUACGUUAGUGUUUUGACGUUACCGACAGAAUAAGCACCGGCUAACUUCGUGCCAGCAGCCGCGGUAAUACGAAGGGUGCAAGCGUUAAUCGGAAUUACUGGGCGUAAAGCGCGCGUAGGUGGUUUGUUAAGUUGAAUGUGAAAGCCCCGGGCUCAACCUGGGAACUGCAUCCAAAACUGGCAAGCUAGAGUAUGGCAGAGGGUGGUGGAAUUUCCUGUGUAGCGGUGAAAUGCGUANAUAUAGGAAGGAACACCACUGGCGAANGCGACCACCUGGGCUAAUNCUGACACUGAGGUGCGAAAGCCUUGGGGGAGCNAACAGGAUUANAUACCCUGGUUAGUCCACGCCCGUNNACGAAUNUCNAACUAAC
RNAcentral lists this ribosomal RNA (631 nucleotides) under Stutzerimonas stutzeri. Its description in RNAcentral is "bacterial SSU rRNA". It matches the Rfam family "Bacterial small subunit ribosomal RNA", at positions 201 to 820 of the family's 1533-position model. The record is from RNAcentral. Lineage: Bacteria; Pseudomonadati; Pseudomonadota; Gammaproteobacteria; Pseudomonadales; Pseudomonadaceae.